Molecule: long non-coding RNA, 618 nt
Organism: Ananas comosus (pineapple)
Lineage: Eukaryota; Viridiplantae; Streptophyta; Magnoliopsida; Poales; Bromeliaceae
Exons: 2
Source: RefSeq, a predicted model, not a curated record
UCAACCCUCCAUGCGUACCAGCACUCUCUCUCUCUUCAUCUCUUUUCAUUUUGGUUUCUUUUCUCUCUCUCUACAAAUGUAAGGUGGCUAGUUAUUAGGGAAUUAGUGGAGUGGGUCGAUUUUGGUGGAAAAGAAGCUUGAGCUGAGAAGAACCCUUUUUGGAGCUCGGAACCUAAGGUUCGGAAGCUUAGCUCGGAAUUGAGCACCUGUCAACCUAAUUGAGGGUAAAACAAACGCGUUGGCAAAGUCGGUUCGGCAAUCCAUCGAGCCUACGCGAAGAUAUCGCCAAAAGAAUAUUUUCAGCUACAAUUGUCGGGAGCGCGGGUCGCGAUUCUUGGGAAAGUGCGAGAAGCGGAUUUCUCACAUUCCAGUAUCAAGUAAAGGUGGGUUGUGCUUACCGAAGUGAUUAGGUCACUUCCAUGCCAAAGCAAAGUAUGAAUUCAAUUGACGCAUAUAUGUGUAGCGAUAGUUUAUGAAUAUGAUUAUUGAACUGAAAGCAUGAGUUAUGUAAGUUGCUUAUCAAUAGAAUAUGUACAUGAAUGUAGUGAUAAUCCUGUAUGAUUAUUUAUGUGUAACCAACAUGCUAGAGACAUAUGAAUGCGUGACUUGUGAGUACUA